This 49-nucleotide ribosomal RNA is filed under the name Procris frutescens. RNAcentral's name for it is "partial 26S ribosomal RNA". Lineage: Eukaryota; Viridiplantae; Streptophyta; Magnoliopsida; Rosales; Urticaceae. The record is from RNAcentral.
GCGACCCCAGGUCAGGCGGGAGUACCCGCUGAAUUUAAGCAUAUCAAUA